GCACGGGUGCGCAACGCGUAUAGAAUCUGCCUUGUACUGGGGAAUAGCCCAGAGAAAUUUGGAUUAAUGCCCCAUGGUAUGUAACUGUGGCAUCACUAUUACAUUAAAGGUUACGGUACAAGAUGACUAUGCGUCCCAUUAGUUAGUUGGUAAGGUAACGGCUUACCAAGGCAGCGAUGGGUAGGGGCCCUGAGAGGGGGAUCCCCCACACUGGUACUGAGACACGGACCAGACUCCUACGGGAGGCAGCAGUGAGGAAUAUUGGACAAUGGGCGGGAGCCUGAUCCAACCAUGCCGCGUGCAGGAAGACGGUCCUAUGGAUUGUAAACUGCUUUUGUACGGGAAGAAUAAGGGCUACGUGUAGUCUGUUGACGGUACCGUAAGAAUAAGGAUCGGCUAACUCCGUGCCAGCAGCCGCGGUAAUACGGAGGAUCCGAGCGUUAUCCGGAAUCAUUGGGUUUAAAGGGUCCGUA
This 473-nucleotide ribosomal RNA is filed under the name marine sediment bacterium BB0608_AND_5.1_8S0. Its description in RNAcentral is "bacterial SSU rRNA". It matches the Rfam family "Bacterial small subunit ribosomal RNA", at positions 100 to 573 of the family's 1533-position model. The record is from RNAcentral.